GUAGGGUGCAGGCGUUAAUCGGAAUUACUGGGCGUAAAGCGUGCGCAUGCGGUUUGCUAAGACAGGUGUGAAAUCCCCGGGCUUAACCUGGGAACUGCGCUUGUAACUGGCAAGCUAGAGUGUGGCAGAGGGGGGUGGAAUUCCACGUGUAGCAGUGAAAUGCGUAGAGAUGUGGAGGAACACCGAUGGCGAAGGCAGCCCCCUGGGCUAACACUGACGCUCAUGCACGAAAGCGUGGGGAGCAAACAGGAUUAGAUACCCUGGUAGUCCACGCCCUAAACUAUGUCAACUGGUUGUCGGGGAAGCAAUUCCUUGGUAACGAAGCUAACGCGUGAAGUUGACCGCCUGGGGAGUACGGCCGCAAGGUUA
RNAcentral lists this ribosomal RNA (369 nucleotides) under uncultured bacterium. Its description in RNAcentral is "bacterial SSU rRNA". It matches the Rfam family "Bacterial small subunit ribosomal RNA", at positions 527 to 896 of the family's 1533-position model. The record is from RNAcentral.